GCACAUAUCUCAUACCUGCAAGUUUGUUGAAUACACAAUACAAUCAUCAAUUAAUUAAUAGCCUCUUCACAAUGCUUCCAAAGUUGUUCUUAAUCAUUUCUACACUAAUUUCCUCCUUCAUCUUCACUCAUUCUUACACCCAAUGUCUUCACCACCAGAAAAUCUUGUUGCUUCAACUCAAGGAUGAGCUGAGCUUCAAUUCAUCUCUUUCAACAAAAUUGGUGCGAU
RNAcentral lists this long non-coding RNA (228 nucleotides) under Salvia miltiorrhiza (redroot sage). Its description in RNAcentral is "long non-coding RNA (SMIL_LNC014294)". The record is from RNAcentral. Lineage: Eukaryota; Viridiplantae; Streptophyta; Magnoliopsida; Lamiales; Lamiaceae.